GCAUUGAGGGCCCGAUUUCCGGCUAUAGCAUGAGCUGAAAGCCCCUGGAGGUGUCCAGGGCCUGCAAAGCAUUGCCCCGACCCCCUAAAAACAGGGCUUCACCAGCGCCAUUUGGAUAGAUAGGAUUUCAAGACCUUA
Xiphophorus hellerii (green swordtail) is the source of this 138-nucleotide long non-coding RNA. RefSeq lists it as uncharacterized. NCBI's taxonomy places the organism in Eukaryota, Metazoa, Chordata, Actinopteri, Cyprinodontiformes, Poeciliidae. The transcript has 2 exons. The record is from RefSeq and is a predicted model, not a curated record.